GCCUCAAUGUAACCAACAACCAAGAAGGCUGUGCUCACACUAUCUCCCGGUCUCCCGGCUUAAAAUAAUACUACUUUUACACUUCUCGGAAUCAAGGUUGAGAAAUCCAUAGGAGAUCAGUGUUUUUUUACUACUAUCAAGCCACCAUGAUUCAAAAUGGACAAAAUGGAGCUACAAUGGAAACAGUCUCGGGCGAUGGGAGAUGCGUCUGCCUGAAUAAAGCAGGAUGGGUGGCUACAGAUUUCCAUGAACUCGUCUGCUAGAAGCGAACUAUUUCGCCACAUUCAUGAUUAAUGUGUCUUUUGCGUGUAUGUCCACUUAGACGGACGAUGUCAGUUUGAUACAAGCUAAGCUGCCUGCAAGGUGAUUUCUGUAGCUAAAGCGCUGGAACCCAGCACCGGGUAGACCGUCGUGUACGACCAAUGUACCUCUUCUCUCGGCUGGAUCCUUUGCCCAAAGGCGCCGAAGAGAAAGACCCCGCACAUCUGUUGCAGGAACAGCUAUGAGAUGAAAACAUAAGAACACGACAAAUUACAUGAGUGUUAUGCAACAUUACAUUAAAUCUAUUACCAGUGAUGAAGAGGUAAUGAAGAGGCCAUGCCAAAGGAGGACUCAUCCAGUGGUCAAAUGUGUCUUUGUGAUGGCCCAGCCUUACACACAUGGGGGGGGGGGGCUUUAGAAGCUGCUGUAUAUGUGGCUUCAGCAGUGGUGUUUGAAAUGGUUGAUAAAUGAUGAUGCAAUAAAGGCAAUCCCCCAGACUGA
Long non-coding RNA from Protopterus annectens (West African lungfish), 762 nucleotides. RefSeq lists it as uncharacterized. The record is from RefSeq and is a predicted model, not a curated record. The transcript has 3 exons. Lineage: Eukaryota; Metazoa; Chordata; Ceratodontiformes; Protopteridae.